This 484-nucleotide ribosomal RNA is filed under the name uncultured bacterium. RNAcentral's name for it is "partial 16S ribosomal RNA". It matches the Rfam family "Bacterial small subunit ribosomal RNA", at positions 29 to 523 of the family's 1533-position model. The record is from RNAcentral.
AGUGAACGCUGGCGGCGUGCUUAACACAUGCAAGUCGAACGAGAACGGGUUAUAGCUUGCUAUAAUUGUCAGCUAAGUGGCGCACGGGUGAGUAAUGUAUAGGUAAUAUGCCUCUUACUAAGGGAUAACAAAUGGAAACGUUUGCUAAUACCUUAUACUCCUUAUUAACAGAAGUUAAUAAGGGAAAGAUUUAUUGGUAAGAGAUUAGCCUGUAUUGUAUCAGUUAGUUGGUGGGGUAAUGGCUUACCAAGACUAUGACACAUAACUGGUUUGAGAGGAUGAUCAGUCACACUGGAACUGAGACACGGUCCAGACUCCUACGGGAGGCAGCAGUGGGGAAUAUUGCACAAUGGACGAAAGUCUGAUGCAGCAACGCCGCGUGGAGGAUGACACAUUUCGGUGCGUAAACUCCUUUUAUAUGAGAAGAUAAUGACGGUAUUAUAUGAAUAAGCACCGGCUAACUCCGUGCCAGCCGCCGCAGUAA